UCCGAUUUGUCUCUGGCAGGUUUCCCAUGCAUGUCAAGCCUAGGUAAGGUUCUUCGCGUUGCGUCGAAUUAAACCACAUGCUCCACCGCUUGUGCGGGCCCCCGUCAAUUCCUUUGAGUUUCAGCCUUGCGGCCGUACUCCCCAGGCGGGGCACUUCAUGCGUUAGCGCCGGCACCCAGGGGGUCGCUCCCCCAGGCACCUAGUGCCCAUCGUUUACGGCGUGGACUAC
This 229-nucleotide unclassified non-coding RNA is filed under the name uncultured Gemmatimonadaceae bacterium. RNAcentral's name for it is "contains 16S-23S intergenic spacer region". The record is from RNAcentral. Lineage: Bacteria; Pseudomonadati; Gemmatimonadota; Gemmatimonadia; Gemmatimonadales; Gemmatimonadaceae.